AUUGGGCGGCCGGUCGCCGUCUGGGAGCGGCGUUGCUCUGGCCUGGAGCCCGUCGGCCUCCUCUCCUUCCGGCCGCUCUCUCUCUUUCUCGGCCAAGAUCUGAUCGGCCCUCUUCCUCGGUUGUUCAGCGGCCAUCGGUUCCGGUCUCUCUCCCUCACGCUGAAGUUCCGCCGCCGCCUUGUGAAGGCCGGCGAGCAGGGGAGUGUCCGACGCCCUCAUCGCGCCGCUGCUGCCCUUGGAAUGGUGCCGCUGUUCUUCCCGGCGGCAGGUGAAAGGCUCGCCGAUCCGCUGCUGUCCUUGGAUCGUUGUUGCUGUUUGGGGUCCCGAUGAGGUUCGAGUUGCGUCACGCCGCCUUCUUCCUCCGUUCCGGUCCGGAUUCAGAUGUCAAAGCAGGCGGGGAGUCGAGCCUUGUUCUUUUCCGCCUCUGCCGCCAUGGUUCUGCCGCCAUCUCCACCGUUUGUGGAAGAUCAGCGAUUCAGCGCCGUUGUUUCGUUCGUGACGCUGCUGCUGUUGUCACGCAAUUUCCGCCGAGGCAGCAGGAGAUGCCGCUGAAAUCUGUCCUCUGCUCAAGAACCGGCUCAAGCCUCACUCUCUCCCUUUUUCUAUUGAAUUAUGGUAUUUCUAUAAUUGAUUAUGCAAGAGAUAAAACUAAGUUCGUGGUUUACUAAUGUAUCAAGAAAUUUCCUUGCUUGCCUCGUGUGAUAAGAAAAUAUAGCAUAAACUGAUUUCUGCCUAAAGAUCAUAUGAGUUUGCUAAGUCUCUUUAUGAAUAUACUCAUUGUAUGCUUAGUAUCCUUUAAUCGAUCAUGCUUGUUGGAUGAAAAACGAAUGGAUUGAAUGAGCUGAGCCUAGUGUUUACCUUGUAUAUUUGUGCUUGAUUGGCUGAUCUGUUUUCUUCUUCUUGGUGAAAAUUUGUUGGCAUAUACUGUUUGAAUAAGGAGAUCUCGGAGAUUAUAGAUGUUAUUUCGGGUGUUUUUUUCUGUGUGAAACUUGGUUUUGAUGUUGGCAUGAGCUUGCUGUAAACAUUCUGUUGGAAUAUACGAAUUGGAUUUUCUUAAACAGCUCCACUGGCGAUCUAUUGAGUAAGAAGGGAGAAGGAUUUGGUGGGGAGCAAAAGAUAAUGGAGUUGGUGGAG
Molecule: long non-coding RNA, 1134 nt
Filed under: Salvia miltiorrhiza (redroot sage)
Lineage: Eukaryota; Viridiplantae; Streptophyta; Magnoliopsida; Lamiales; Lamiaceae
Description: long non-coding RNA (SMIL_LNC012152)
Source: RNAcentral